GCCUUCGUUGUGUAGUGGUCAGCGCACUCGACCCGCAACCGAGAGGUCCGUGGUUCGAUUCCCGGCGAAGGCG
This is a non-coding RNA of Stegodyphus mimosarum, 73 nucleotides long. The record is from Rfam. Lineage: Eukaryota; Metazoa; Arthropoda; Arachnida; Araneae; Eresidae.